CUUGGAGUUGGGGUCCAGAUCUCCCAGAUGAGGCUUCAAACCUCGCCUUCCUUCCAUCAAAGGGCCUGCUACCGGGUCCCUUCCAUGGGGUUCCUCGCUCCCUCCGGCUCAUCACAGUUGUAGUGAGAGGUUACAGACUGGGCUAUUCCGGGGAUUUUAAAUAGAUGGUAACACUUAGGCUCUUCUAUUCUUGCAUGGUGUUUGUGGUGUGUGGUGAGAAUGGGGGCAGGGCCACGUCUCAGGGAGGAACUCAGUCGAGUGUCAUGCAUACAGACUGGUGUUAACUUCAGCUCUAUUAAACAUCUUUAUUAAUAAUCCAGAAGUGGGGUAUAAACAGAACAUUAAUUAAAUGCCUGAAUACUAAAUUGGGAGGUGUUACAAAAGAUGGACUAAUCACUUUAUCAUUUACUCAGCAUGCAGAACUUGUAUAAUUUGUUGUAUUUAAUGGAUAAAAGUGGGACAUUUCUUUGUUGACAACUCUAUUGGCUCUGUGUGUAGCGGGCAUUUUGGUUGAGUUUCUUUAUGUGCAUAUUCUUAUUUCUUGCACCUUUCUAUUUAGGUUAGUUUCAGGAUGAUGAGUCAUCCUAUUUGUAUAUUAAGGAAUCAAGUAGAAUGCAAAUGUUUUGGAAGAGUGAGGUGGAAUAAACAGAAGCAAGAACAGAGAAUAACAUGCAGUAGUGGAGGCCAGCUGAGUCGAUUGCUUGGAGACCCAAGUCCUCUCUCCUGACUCCUGUGGGGUCUGUUCUGUUUUCUCAGACUGCACCUGUUCUUCUAGCAAGUGAAGUGCCUCACGGAGUUACCUCUUUGGAAGGGCUUGCUAAGAGCAGUCUUAAACUCAGCACAUACUUUAUUCCAUGGCCUUACUUUAGACUUUCCAGGAGCUCAUCUGGAGGGUCCGUGCAGGUCACAGAGGUUAACAUGGCAUUCAAGGCGCCAUCAGUCAGCCUAAAAUACCUUACAGAGGCAAAUGUUCCAGGAAACAGACCUCCAGAAAUGCACAGGUAAGAUGUGACCCUCGAGCAGUUAUGACCAGGAAGGCUGACAAUUCUCUGAAUCCAAAGAAGAAACCCUCUAGGCAGAUGAAUACGGAGUGAGACUAAGCAGUGUGAGGCAGAGCUGGGCAUGAAGAAAUGGAACGUUCAGACCAGCCUGGUUGAGAAAUCACUCUGAAGACACCCACACUGCAAGUGGCAUCCAGCCUCUGGUGAAUGGGGAUUUGAUAUUUAUGCAAGAACUGUGGAAGCCGGAUAGGUAGAGAGAUGGACACAUAUGCAUGUAGAUAGCUACACAUGCACGCAUAUCAAACGGGGCUUCACUGCUAAGAGCAGUGUUCGUCAUUAUCAUUUCAUCUCUCGGUGCUGUGUUUCUCAGUUAUUUGUCUGUCUUUUACAAAUAAGCCUUUCUAAAUUUUAUUACUGAGUUAGAACUCAAAGAAAAAUUUUUUCAAGAUGUUGGCCCUAGAAUAAACAAGGCAGUUUGGCAGCGUCCUCAACGGACUCCUGCUUCCCUAAAACACAUGACA
RNAcentral lists this long non-coding RNA (1522 nucleotides) under Callithrix jacchus (white-tufted-ear marmoset). Its description in RNAcentral is "lncRNA (ENSCJAG00000077136.1)". Lineage: Eukaryota; Metazoa; Chordata; Mammalia; Primates; Cebidae. The record is from RNAcentral.